UUGAACGCUGGCGGCAGGCCUAACACAUGCAAGUCGAGCGGAUGAAGGGAGCUUGCUCCUGGAUUCAGCGGCGGACGGGUGAGUAAUGCCUAGGAAUCUGCCUGGUAGUGGAGGAUAACGUCCGGAAACGGGCGCUAAUACCGCAUACGUCCUGAGGGAGAAAGUGGGGGAUCUUCGGACCUCACGCUAUCAGAUGAGCCUAGGUCGGAUUAGCUAGUUGGUGGGGUAAAGGCCUACCAAGGCGACGAUCCGUAACUGGUCUGAGAGGAUGAUCAGUCACACUGGAACUGAGACACGGUCCAGACUCCUACGGGAGGCAGCAGUGGGGAAUAUUGGACAAUGGGCGAAAGCCUGAUCCAGCCAUGCCGCGUGUGUGAAGAAGGUCUUCGGAUUGUAAAGCACUUUAAGUUGGGAGGAAGGGCAGUAAGUUAAUACCUUGCUGUUUUGACGUUACCAACAGAAUAAGCACCGGCUAACUUCGUG
RNAcentral lists this ribosomal RNA (483 nucleotides) under uncultured bacterium. RNAcentral describes it as "partial 16S ribosomal RNA". It matches the Rfam family "Bacterial small subunit ribosomal RNA", at positions 30 to 507 of the family's 1533-position model. The record is from RNAcentral.